Molecule: transfer RNA, 74 nt
Filed under: Pelagibacteraceae bacterium TMED124
Lineage: Bacteria; Pseudomonadati; Pseudomonadota; Alphaproteobacteria; Candidatus Pelagibacterales; Candidatus Pelagibacteraceae
Also listed under: 1 other name
Description: tRNA-Met
Rfam family: tRNA
About the family: Transfer RNA (tRNA) molecules are approximately 80 nucleotides in length. Their secondary structure includes four short double-helical elements and three loops (D, anti-codon, and T loops).
Source: RNAcentral
GGCGGUGUAGCUCAGUUGGUUAGAGCACCGGAAUCAUAAUCCGGGUGUCCGGGGUUCGAGUCCCUGCACCGCCA